AUAAUACCUGUCAUGAAAUCAGUAAGGGAACUCUGAACUACAGUUCCCAAAAGCCACUGCUUCAUUAGCACUCUUGUAUAUAGCCACUGUUUUGCACUGCUUCCUUGUCUCCCGUUAUCAUCUUUCUAUGCUUUUGUCCAUGCGUCCAUGUUUAGUUUUUGCCACAGUAUUUUGCCUCAUGUUAUUGUGUCUUUGUAUUUUGUUUGUUUGUUUAUUAAAUCCUUUGAAAUUCUGCAUUUGCAUCCAUCUCCAACUUUGAAAUGUGACAUUACCUAUAUGUUUCUUCAAACAGAUUAUUCCAGAAGUAAUCAAACCCCUUCUAAAAAUAAACAAUUCUUCCCUUAGUACUGGCUAUGUGCCUAAAUCAUUUAAACUAGCAGUUAUUAAACCCCUGAUUAAAAAACUUCACCUCGACCCCUCUCAACUGUCCAGCUAUAGACCUAUAUCAAAUCUCCCCUUCAUCUCUAAGAUCUUAGAAAAGGUUGUAGCAAAGCAGUUAUGCUCGUACUUUCAUAGGAACAACAUUCAUGAAAUGUAUCAGUCAGGAUUUAGACCUCAUCAUAGCACAGAGACAGCGUUAGUUAAAGUAGUAAAUGACCUUCUACUGACCUCUGAUCAGGGUUGUGACUCGCUGCUUGUGUUACUUGAGCUUAGUGCAGCUUUUGAUGCUAUAGAUCAUACUAUUCUCCUUGAUAGAUUAGAAAAUGUUUAAAUAAAGAUUAUCUGCUAUUGCAUCCACCUCUCUAGAUUUGUAGAGAAUGCCAAGCCUUAACAUGGAAGCAGCAGGUUUAAUGAGAAUGAAUCAGUAAUUGACAGCACUGAACCUCGUUUUCUUUGAGCAGCAGCAGCAGCUUGAGAUGGUCAGCACCAUGUGGAGUCAGCCUGCUGCAAACUUUGCCCAAGAGAUUUUUUUUAUGGGAGAAGGCUCCAGCCCAGCUCAGUGAUUUCGUAGUUACUUGCUGAGGGUAUCAGUUCCCACCCUGCCCCACUAGGGACAUCAUGCUGCCUCCCUAGCCUGCUGAUAAUAUGAUAGAAUGUGAUGGAUUUGAUGUGUAGAAAGUACAGCUAGAGAAAUUGUGAGGGUACCUAGCAGUGGCUAUUCAGGAGAUUCAUUUUAUGACUCCAUUGAAAUUAUUCUUUUCAGAAAUCUUGCAUUAAUUUAAUUCUCAAAUAUUAGUAGGUCUUAUCUUAUCAUAAUAUUAUCAUAAUGGUAUGGAGCCCAUUAUCAGACAUAAAGAAUAUAACUGGGUAACAUAUACAAGUAUCUGCUAUGUAAUACAAUGGAAUUAGACCCGCAAGAAAAAGUGCAUUUUGUACAUGGUACGUUACAUGGUAAUGAAAGAGUAACUAUUCAAUUGUCGUCGUCACAAGAGCUUGACAAAACAUAUGAAAAAUUACCAAAUUAUUACUACAUCUAAUCUUUAAAAUACUCUUUGUAAUAUAAUGGAAGUAUGGUUGUGAAAACUUUAAUUAUUCAUUAAACAUUAUGGGCUGUAUUCAGAGUAGAGUUUGGCAUGCAUGGUGAAAAAUUAAUUUUUAAAAAUAGUGUUUUGGGUCUGGAUCAGUAUUCAGACCUCAGACAUAACCAUGGACACUACUCAGACAGUUGUGCAGGAUUUGCAAGGAUGGAGGUGAGGAAGGAGAAGAACACCCCAAAGAUCUCAGUUCAAGAAUUACACAAUUUAGUGGAUUCUAAAUGGUCACAUUUCAAAAUAAAGAAUUAGAGACCACUGCCAUAACAAAAAGCUAUUCGGACAGCUAGAAACCCUUUCUAUAUGCGACCCAUAAUUCCCCUAAACUCCGCUAAACUUUACGUAGCUCUAAGUACAAACAAUUAGCAAUCUUGGAAUCAGAUACAACUAAUCGGAAAUGAACAUCAUAAUCUUGUCUGGAGAAAAAAAAAGGUAAUUAAAUAUGAUAAAACAGUAUUUAUACCGACAGGAAAAAAAUUGCCUAUAAUUUUUUAGCACUAUGUGGUAGCUGAUGGGCGCAGGGACUCUCAUGGAGAUUAACAGCAUUGCAAAUACAAGCAUAAUUUAGCCUAAAAUCCAUAUGUGGAUCUUUCAUCAAGCUGACAACAAAUCAACAGAGAACACAAAUCAUCAGAGGUGGACAUCUGACUAAUCACACCCAUAUGUGAGGCACUAAUGUCAGGCGAAAAGGCCUGGCACAUAGGCCAGUUCCAAUUCAUCCCAAAAGUGUUCAGUAGGGUUGAUACUACAGCAAUGCAAAAAUAUUCUACACAUUUAUGUGUUUCAAACUUCGUGGAAACAGUUUGGUGAAGGCCCACAUAUAGGUGUGACGAUCAGGUGUCCACAUACUAUUGGUCAAAUAGCGUACUUCUGUUAUAGUGGUCUUAAAAUAAGUCUUUUCUGUGAUUCAUAUCUGAAAAAUAUCAAUUAAUAUUCAUUUUGAGGCUUUCACCAAAAUCAAGGAAAAUUCACUUCUGUGCUUUAAGAUGCAUUAACUUCAGUGGAAUGAGUGACAGCACGAUACAGAAUGGUUAUUCUGUAGGGUCAGUUUUGCACAGCAGUAGAACAAUCAGAUUCUUCUUGGACAAAGGGUUGCUUUACACUGUUAAAAUGCACAGAAAUUUAAAGCACCUAAGCAAUAUAAACACUGUAUUUUUUACAGACUGUUUAAGUUAAAUAAAAUCAUUUUCUAGUACUUAGACUUCUUGUUUUAAUGUUGUCAGGUCUUGUAAUGUGUGAAGGGACCAUGGGAGUUGGAGUGUAUUCUAAAAAUAUAAUGGAUCUCUGGUAGUCUAGUUCAGUUUCGGUCUGAUUCAACAUUAAAAAUAUAACGAAACUUACUGGCUUUGAUCUUAUUUUCUCCUGUCUCUCAUGAGAAUUGUUCACAAGUAAUUCAGAAAUUUCUGCUUUUUUCUGAUGAGUAAUGCCAAAAAUAAACAAAUAUUAAAUCAUGUAAAAUUCUUCCCAGUUUCUGAAAAGUUGCUGAAAUAAUGUUCAUUAUGUCUUUGUAAACAGGUCCCCUGUAUUCAAGUCAUUGUAUAUGUUUUCCCCCCAAUUUCGGCAGUGCUUGGGAAGUUCCUGCAUUUUGUGUCAGCGCAGCCGUGGAAUUUGUUCCUGUUGGUGUACUGUAGGCUUUAGGUUUAGGUAUCCUUGUGGGGCCAGACUGCUGGAAUGCUUCAACAGGUACCUGUUGGGAAAGAAGAAGAGGACAUUGUCAACACACCUGCACAACUGUCAGUCAUUCUGGGUUCAUAUGCCCAUUGGCCGAUCUGCCAUUGUUAUUACACUAUUCACUGUUUCUUACAUUUCUUGGGUGUGAUAUAUAACAUCAUAGCACAUUAUGUCAGUUGGCAGAGAUGCAUGCAGGUGUUGGUCAAAGGCUGUAUUGUUACAACAGGCAAACAGAUCCAAAUCGUGAAGCAAAGUCAAAGUCUGGCAGUGGUCAGGCAAUAAAGAAAUGGGAAAAACAAGGCAUUUUUCUGAAGGAUUCUGAAAUCAGGGGACAGACAAAGAUCAUAACCAGAUAAAUAAGCAUAAACAACAAGUCUUGACAUGUCAGGAUACAAGGCUACACUGAGCCAUACUUUGCACAGAUAAAUGCUUGAGUGUAUUAUUUAUAGUGUGUUUGAUCGAGUCAGGAGUGUGUGUGUGUGUCAGGAGAUGAAGCCCUUGGUGGCCAUGUUUAUAUGUCACAAUGUCUGUUGGAAGUUAUAUGCUGAUUCUGCCAUUGAUUUGACACAUUAAAGAAUUAGUCCUAAGGCCCAGAAUUAUGCAUCUUGCAUCUUCUUAAUAGUUAAGCAAAGUCAAAUCCAGCAACUUACUAAAAGAACCAGCCAAAAUAAGCCAAAUCUGUAAUGAGUAAUAUAAAUAAUAUAUUGUACAUUGCAUGUAAUAAUAUAAUAAUCAUUUUACAAUAAUGUUUAAUACUAUUAGCAGCAACCCAGUAGGUGAUUACACAUUAUCAUAAUAAUUUGUGAGUAAUUUCCUUCAAUUAAUACUGGGGAAAGUAUGCGCAUGUGCUUACUUUGUAACUUACUUUGUAAGUCUUUGUAACAAACGGACAUGUACGGUAUACUAAUUGUAGCUAUAUCUCAAGGACUACAGUUCUUUCCUCCACUCAAAGUAAAAAAUAGAACUUUUUUUCACACCUGACAAAGUUUUAUUACAUAAAAUAUGAAGUGCUACAGUUCUUUUACUUUAAAAGGUCAAAAAGUAAUAUUAGAGUGACUUUGAUUACAUUUGAAGAGGAAACUGACCUCAGAACAUGAAGUCACACAAAAAAGCUAGUUUUUUAGUUCCUUUGGUGUUUGGAGGUAUAAACCAUGUGAUAACUUUCCCACGAGACAACCCCACUCUAUCCUACUGUUCUUUUCACAGGGAAAUGUGUUAACAAAUCAUUAGCACAGUAUCAUUCAGAAAUACUCAUAUACCUUCACACUGAAUUCAAGCAGCACUAGAAUUUGACUGCAAGAACAAAAAUCUCAAUUAGACUAGAGUUUUAUACAAGGAGAUUAUUAUUAAGUCGCCACACUGAUGUAACUAAUAAAACAAGCUAAAAUGUAAAUAAAAAUUAACAUGGGUGAUGGUCUGGCCACCUGUCCUCCUCUAUAGGUUUUACUAUUGUUUUUUUAUUCCCCCUGCCCCCCAGCAUUGCAGCCCACCACCUACUGGCCUGUGUCAUGUCCUGCCCCUGAAGAUUGAUUGGUUGGCAUUACAGGGAAGGUUAUGGAGCAGGGGUCAGGAACCUUUUUCCAUUUGUUAGUUUAUACUUUUUUUUUUUCUCAAAAAAACCAUUGCAAAAAUCUCUUCUGUGUGUGAGUGCAUGUGUGCAUGUGAUUCUGUAAACUCAUCCAGUGCAAGAGAAAGAAAAUCUGCCAAAGUUAAGCCUAUAUCCAUGCUCUUUAUCCUCUCUAUCUCACGUGCCAUCAAGACAGCACGGUCAUGCACAGUUCGGGCUGACAGGGGCACGUCUUUUAUUUUCUGAAUGAUUUUCUCCUUGUUUGUGAAAUCCGUAGACAGUUCAGUUUCCAUACUCAAUGUGCAUGACUUUACAUAUCCUCCGUCAGUAAAAGUUUUUUCUUGUCUUACAGUCUCCAAUGAGCCAGCAAAGCUGGCAGCAUUCAGGCUUCCAGUUGCCCCUGUCCACCGGAGCUCUGCAGGGGAGACCUCUUCACAGGUCUCCCUAGGUAGGUUUGGCCAAUUUCAGUUUGUAUGUAGGAGUGUUUUUUCCUCUUGUUGGGCACCUAACGUGUUGCCUGUAUUUAAGAAGUUCGUCACUGAGUUUUGCUCUGUUGAAGUCAUUUAAAAUGAUGAGUAAGUCCGGGUGGUUCUGCUGCAGAUUCCUUAGGCUUGUGGUGAAAUGUAAACAUUCAUCAGAACAAACAACGGAUUCCCAUGAUGAACAGAAUGGUUUGCAGUUUUUGAUUAGCGUUUCCAGAGAGGGCUCACAGACUAUUUUUUAAAACAGAUACAUCUGUACACCAACCUUUGUUUACAUAGAAGCAAACACCACUGCAUAACCAAGAUGGCACCCACCGUAGCAGAUGUCUGUGUACUCCUCCUGCGGCCAUCAUUAUUUGUCAUAUAUUUUUGUUUGUUUAGUAUUUCUUAAAUCCUUAAAUGUACAUAAAUCAUCUGCACUCAUUACAUAAGACAGAGAAACACUACUGAAAAUUGGAAAACAAACAUCCAAGCUUUCUUUCAGUCUGUCAGAUCUGGAUUACCUCCUGCAUCCGAGCUCACAUCAGUGAGGCCCACCAACACCAGAAUGGAGUGAUCAGCGUAGGUGGUGGAAAGAGCAAUCUAAGCAGUGACUAGGCAAGAGAGGUGGGCUACAGGCUAGGCUAAAGGCUAGAGCAAACUGACUGCCUCUCCCUAGCUUACUGCUAGCAAACAUCUCAUCCCUCAAUAACCAGCUGGACGAACUUAGAAUUAGGAUCAUAUCACAGCGAGAAAUCAGAGAUUGCUGCAUGCUCAUUUUCACAGAAUCCUGGCUAUUUGACUACACAAUGGACUCUGCGAUUCACCUGUAGAUGCACUCCAUCCACCACAGGGACUGUACAGCAGUAUUUGGGAAACAGAAAGGUGGAGGUACCUAUAUCUACAUUAACAACCAGUAGUGCUCAGACAUGUAGAUUGUCAGUAAACACUGCUCAAGUGACAGAACAAUUAUUAGUGAAAUGCAGGCCCUUUUAUCUGCCAAGAGAAUUUACAGCUGUAUUUCUCCUGGCUGUUUACAUUCUGCCACACGUGAACUCCACAGCAGCACUUAAUUCGGUUGCACAUUAUAAACACACAAGAAACUGUACACCCAGAUGCUGUGUUUAUCAUCGCAGGUGACUUCGAU
Molecule: long non-coding RNA, 6318 nt
Organism: Ictalurus punctatus (channel catfish)
Lineage: Eukaryota; Metazoa; Chordata; Actinopteri; Siluriformes; Ictaluridae
Source: Ensembl